This 348-nucleotide unclassified non-coding RNA is filed under the name soil metagenome. Its description in RNAcentral is "partial contains 5.8S ribosomal RNA, internal transcribed spacer 2, and large subunit ribosomal RNA". The stretch from base 2 to 118 matches the Rfam family "5.8S ribosomal RNA", at positions 37 to 154 of the family's 154-position model. The record is from RNAcentral.
GUGAAGAACGUAGCGAAAUGCGAUAAGUAAUGCGAAUUGCAGAAUCCGUGAGUCAUCGAAUCUUUGAACGCACAUUGCGCCCUCUGGUAUUCCGGAGGGCAUGCCUGUUCGAGCGUCAUUAUCACCCCUCAAGCCCGGCUUGUUGUCGGAUGCAGCGCUUAUCCCGCUCCUCCCAAAGAUAAUGACGGCGUCUGCGACGACUCCUGUACACUGAGCUUUCGGGCACGUACACGGCUAGAAGUCCAGACCCGGUCGCCGUCCCCCCCGCGGGGACACCCAUUACCACAAGGUUGACCUCGGAUCAGGUAGGAAUACCCGCUGAACUUAAGCAUAUCAAUAAGCGGAGGA